This is a long non-coding RNA of Dreissena polymorpha, 737 nucleotides long. RefSeq lists it as uncharacterized. Lineage: Eukaryota; Metazoa; Mollusca; Bivalvia; Myida; Dreissenidae. The transcript is spliced from 2 exons. The record is from RefSeq and is a predicted model, not a curated record.
UUAGUUUUUUCAGUAUGUAGAGACUGGGUAGAAAGGUGAACUGUUUUUACUAACAUUUUAAUACGUUAAUUGGCUUGUCAAGCAUGAGUUUAUUCACUCAACCACAUCCGUGUGCAUGAAUGACUAUUUCGAAUGUCAUUCUUUGCAUAUCAUUCAUGCUGUCAACCUGUAUGUUUAUGAUAUUAAAUCAUAAAUAUAAUAUAUUUAGAAACCCAAACGUGUUGUUCGAAGAAAGAACCCUAAACGCCCAUACGGCAACACUGGCGCCCAACAACGAGUCUUCGGCAACAACAGCGUUUGGAGCAGAAAAACGGAAGUAGCGGACACGUUACUACGGCGAAAAUCCCUGAACAGACAGGAGCCUCAGACCGGUAGCGAGGAGGGUAGAGUCCAGGAAUUUAACACAGCGAUUCCUUGGAAACCGGUUUUUGAUUUUUCCCGGGGAGUAGGAGUCCACAUUUUUGCGCGGCAUCGAGCUCGAGCACCGAUGUGAGUACAACUACGUAUUUCUUGUGCACAAAACUUUGACGUCAAAACCGUUAAAACGUACGUACAGGAUUUCACGUUCUGCUACGCAAGGAAGGAUUCACGUUCAAUCAGGACGGAGAGUGAUGGACACUUAAAUCGUUGUGGACAUUGUGUAUCGUGUCAUUAUUGUGUUUUGCUUGUAUUUUGUAAGUGUUCCGACGGAGUUCGGUGAGUGUAAAUAUUUUUAUAAUUAUUGUGCAAUGUACAUA